RNAcentral lists this small RNA (145 nucleotides) under Vibrio sp. qd031. The record is from RNAcentral. Lineage: Bacteria; Pseudomonadati; Pseudomonadota; Gammaproteobacteria; Vibrionales; Vibrionaceae.
ACCCAAAAAAGAGCCCAGAACUUAUCCUGUUCUGGGCUUAGGGGAAUGGCUCUUUUUCAGAGCCUGCGCUAAUCGUUGCUUUUAUUUUAGUACAGGCUGAUAAGAAUGCCAUUUAUAAGGCUUGGUUAGAAUGAUAUACCGUCUC